AGAAAAUAGAUACCCUGGUAGUCCAUGCCGUAAACUAUGGAUACUAGCUGUUGGGGGGUAUCGACCCCUCCAGUAGCGAAAGCUAAACGCGUUAAGUAUCCCGCCUGUGGAGUACGAUCGCAAGAUUAAAACAUAAAGGAAUUGACGGGGACCCGCACAAGCGGUGGAGCGUGUUCUUUAAAUUCGAUGCUAAACGAAGAACCUUACCAGGGCUUGACAUCCCUUGAAUUACUCCGAAAGGAGUGAGUGCUUUAUUGAGCAAGGUGACAGGUGAUGCAUGGCCGUCGUCAGCUCGUGUCGUGAGAUGUUUGGUUAAGUCCAUCAACGAGCGCAACCCUUAUACUUAGUUGUAUUUUUCUAGGUAGACUG
This 369-nucleotide ribosomal RNA is filed under the name uncultured bacterium. Its description in RNAcentral is "bacterial SSU rRNA". It matches the Rfam family "Bacterial small subunit ribosomal RNA", at positions 774 to 1151 of the family's 1533-position model. The record is from RNAcentral.